GGCGUGCCUAAUACAUGCAAGUCGAGCGAGCUUGCCUAGAUGAUUUUAGUGCUUGCACUAAAUGAAACUAGAUACAAGCGAGCGGCGGACGGGUGAGUAACACGUGGGUAACCUGCCCAAGAGACUGGGAUAACACCUGGAAACAGAUGCUAAUACCGGAUAACAACACUAGACGCAUGUCUAGAGUUUGAAAGAUGGUUCUGCUAUCACUCUUGGAUGGACCUGCGGUGCAUUAGCUAGUUGGUAAGGUAACGGCUUACCAAGGCAAUGAUGCAUAGCCGAGUUGAGAGACUGAUCGGCCACAUUGGGACUGAGACACGGUCCAUACUCCUACGGGAGGCAGCAGUAGGGAAUCUUCCACAAUGGGCGCAAGCCUGAUGGAGCAACACCGCGUGAGUGAAGAAGGGUUUCGGCUCGUAAAGCUCUGUUGUUGGAGAAGAACGUGCGUGAGAGUAACUGUUCGCGCAGUGACGGUAUCCAACCAGAAAGUCACGGCUAACUACGUGCCAGCAGCCGCGGUAAUACGUAGGUGGCAAGCGUUAUCCGGAUUUAUUGGGCGUAAAGCGAGCGCAGGCGGUUGCUUAGGUCUGAUGUGAAAGCCUUCGGCUUAACCGAAGAAGUGCAUCGGAAACCGGGCAACUUGAGUGCAGAAGAGGACAGUGGAACUCCAUGUGUAGCGGUGGAAUGCGUAGAUAUAUGGAAGAACACCAGUGGCGAAGGCGGCUGUCUGGUCUGCAACUGACGCUGAGGCUCGAAAGCAUGGGUAGCGAA
Molecule: ribosomal RNA, 771 nt
Filed under: uncultured Lactobacillus sp.
Lineage: Bacteria; Bacillati; Bacillota; Bacilli; Lactobacillales; Lactobacillaceae
Description: bacterial SSU rRNA
Rfam family: Bacterial small subunit ribosomal RNA
Source: RNAcentral